This 442-nucleotide ribosomal RNA is filed under the name uncultured bacterium. RNAcentral's name for it is "partial 16S ribosomal RNA". It matches the Rfam family "Bacterial small subunit ribosomal RNA", at positions 28 to 506 of the family's 1533-position model. The record is from RNAcentral.
GAUGAACGCUGGCGGCAUGCCUAACACAUGCAAGUCGAUCGGUAAGGCUCUUCGGAGUACACGAGAGGCGGACGGCUGAGUAACGCGUAGGAACACACCCUGCAGUGAGGGAUAAGACACCGAAAGGUGUUCUAAUACCGCAUACGGUCUUCGGAUUAAAGCAUUUAUGCGCUGAAGGAGUGGCCUGCGUCAUAUUAGAUAGUUGGUGAGGUAAUGGCUCACCAAGUCGAUGAUGUGUAGCUGGUCUGAGAGGAUGAUCAGCCAGACUGGAACUGAGACACGGUCCAGACUCCUACGGGAGGCAGCAGUGAGGAAUAUUUCACAAUGAGCGAAAGCUUGAUGGAGCAAUGCCGCGUGCAGGAUGAAGGCCCUCGGGUUGUAAACUGCUUUUAUAAGAGAAGAUUAUGACGGUAACUUAUGAAGAAGGGACGGCUAACUACGU